GAUGAACGCUAGCGGCAGGCUUAACACAUGCAAGUCGAGGGGCAGCGCGAUGUAGCAAUACAUUGGCGGCGACCGGCGCACGGGUGCGUAACACGUAUGGAACUUACCCUUUACUGGGAGAUAGCCCGGAGAAAUCCGGAUUAAUAUCCCAUAAUAAACGAGGUGGCAUCACUUUGUUUGAAAGCUCCGGCGGUAAAGGAUGGCCAUGCGCACGAUUAGCUAGUAGGUGAGGUAACGGCUCACCUAGGCUACGAUCGUUAGGGGGGCCUGAGAGGGUUAUCCCCCACACUGGUACUGAGACACGGACCAGACUCCUACGGGAGGCAGCAGUGAGGAAUAUUGCGCAAUGGAGGCAACUCUGACGCAGCCAUGCCGCGUGCAGGAAGAAGGCGCUACGCGUUGUAAACUGCUUUUAACCGGGAAGAAACCCCAGGACGUGUCCUGGGUUGACGGUACCGGAGGAAUAAGCACCGGCUAACUUCGUGCCAGCAG
This 492-nucleotide ribosomal RNA is filed under the name uncultured bacterium. RNAcentral's name for it is "bacterial SSU rRNA". It matches the Rfam family "Bacterial small subunit ribosomal RNA", at positions 28 to 514 of the family's 1533-position model. The record is from RNAcentral.